GGUGUUUAGUGACUCUUUGAAAAAAGAAAAAAAGAAGCUACUUAGUUAUGAAAACCGAAGAUUUGAUGAUGGACGUUAUUGCAAAUUUGGAAAGCAGAGAACCUAAAUAUUGCAGUGAAGGCAAUCUGGGAGGAAGAAGAGUAGGAUGUUGGUUACUAGCACCCUAGUGCUGGAGCAUCCAGAGAGAAGCUGGACCCAAGCAGGAACAAAGUGCAGAGGGCUGCAAUUUCUGCUGCCAAAGUUGAUGCCUAAGGGCCCAUAAUAGCAUCUGACAUGGAGCAAGCUCUCACAAAGCACCUGUUGGCUCACUCACCGAGUUACUACCUGCACAAGUCUGGAAUGAAAUGUGGGACAGAUGAAGUGAGCGGUUCUACUGGAAAGCCCUUCCCAGGAAGAGCCUGCCCUGAUCUCUUUCCAUUCCACUGAUCUUGGCCAAGAUUUGAGCAUCCACUAAUGCAGUGGUUCUCAGUCUGUGGGUCUUGACUCUUUUAGGGGUCCAAUGACCCUUUUACAGGGGUCACAUAUCAGAUAUUUCCAUUACUAUUCAUAACAAUAGCAAAAUCACAGUUAUGAAAUAGCAACAGAAAUAAUUUUAUGGUGUGUGGGGGCCACCACAGCAUGAGGAACUGUAUUAAAAGGUCACAGCCUUAGGAAGGUUGAGAACCAUGGCACUAAUGUGUGCAGGUACUCAAGGAAGAGGGAGCCUGUUAAUUGCAAGCUGUUUUUCAGUUUUGCUGAAAGGGUUCUACUAUCAAUUAUGACACAGGGCUAAGGAGAAGGAAGUCCUAUCUAUGUGGCCAUAUAUUUCAAGAUGUCUAAUUUGUUUGCUGUAAUAAGGCCAGGCUCUGUUAUUGAUGAAUCAGUCAUCUGUGUCUUGUAUACUAGAGGAUACCACCUAGGUCUGUCUGUCUGCAUAAUGGUGGUGCACACAGAGAUGGGUGCUGGGCUGUAUAUUAUUAAACUCUAUAAACAUGUUGAACAUUAAUUGCUACUGCUGGGCAAGGAAACAUUUUUUCCCUCUUUGUGAUAGAGUUAAGUAAUUUAUACAGGAUGACUCAAGCCCUGUCUCUCAGCAGCUGGCAAAACGCUGCUAAAUCAAUCCAUAUGGCUGGCCUCUCUGCACAAGAAUCAAUUGUAUGUCCUGCAUGGGUGAAUGACACGGGGCAUCCGAGCUGCACUGAGUCCUUUCUUGCUGUAAAUGGACUAGCCCUAGAGGUUCUGUCUCCACAUACCUCAGGAGGAUGAGGGUAGAAACAAUUACAGGGUCAAUUUAAACACAAAAUAAAUGCUUACCUCAGUUAA
Long non-coding RNA from Mesocricetus auratus (golden hamster), 1302 nucleotides. RefSeq lists it as uncharacterized. The record is from RefSeq and is a predicted model, not a curated record. NCBI's taxonomy places the organism in Eukaryota, Metazoa, Chordata, Mammalia, Rodentia, Cricetidae. The transcript is spliced from 2 exons.